GCCCUACGGGGCGCAGCAGUGGGGAAUAUUGCACAAUGGGGGGAACCCUGAUGCAGCGCCGCCGCUUUCCGGCCUCCUUCUUUCGUUAUGUAAACUUCUAUCAGCAGUGCAUAAAAUGACGGUACCUGACUAAGAAGCCCCGGCUAACUACGUGCCAGCAGCCGCGGUAAUACGUAGGGGGCAAUCGUUAUCCGGAUUUACUGGGUGUACCGGGAGCGUAGGCGGCGAUGCAAGUCAGAAGUGAAAGCCCGGGGCUCAACUCCGUGACUGCUUUUGAAACUGUGUUGCUAGAUUGC
This 296-nucleotide ribosomal RNA is filed under the name uncultured bacterium. RNAcentral describes it as "partial 16S ribosomal RNA". It matches the Rfam family "Bacterial small subunit ribosomal RNA", at positions 335 to 649 of the family's 1533-position model. The record is from RNAcentral.